GACGAACGCUGGCGGCGUGCCUAACACAUGCAAGUCGAGCGGUCCGGCAUUUAACAUUGAGUAUUCAGGGCGUAUGUCGGCAAACGGAGCCGGCGUCAAGCAGAAACAUCCUUAAUAUGGACGAAACUAAACAAGGUUUCUGCUUCACGUAUAUGGACGAAACUAAACAAAGUUUCUGCUUCACGUAUAUGGACGAAACUAAACAAAGUUUCUGCUUCACGCGUAUCAAGUGCCAACACAUAAAUCCUGAGUAUUGAAUGUUAAAUGUCGGAUAGCGGCGACGGGUGAGUAACGCGUGGGCAACCUGCCUUUCACUGGGGGAUAACACAGGGAAACCUGUGCUAAUACCGCAUGACAUCACGUAGGGCAUCCUAUGUGAUCAAAGGAGAGAUCCGGUGGAAGAUGGGCCCGCGUCCAAUUAGCUGGUUCGGUGAGGUAAAAGGCUCGACCAAGGCGACGAUUGGUAGCCGAACUGAGAGGUUGAUCGGCCACAUUGGGA
This 499-nucleotide ribosomal RNA is filed under the name uncultured bacterium. RNAcentral describes it as "bacterial SSU rRNA". It matches the Rfam family "Bacterial small subunit ribosomal RNA", at positions 28 to 318 of the family's 1533-position model. The record is from RNAcentral.